AGCAGUAGCCACGGGAAAACGGAGGAUCCAAGCGUUAUCCGGAUUUAUUGGGUUUAAAGGGUGCGUAGGUGGCCUGUUAAGUCAGGGGUGAAAGACGGUAGCUCGACUAUCGCAGUGCCCUUGAUACUGAUGGGCUUGAAUGAACUAGAGGUAGGCGGAAUGUGACAAGUAGCGGUGAAAUGCAUAGAUAUGUCACAGAACACCAAUUGCGAAGGCAGCUUACUAUGGUUUUAUUGACACUGAGGCACGAAAGCGUGGGGAUCAAACAGGAUUAGAUACCCCAGUAGUCCCUGUCUCUUAUAC
This 303-nucleotide ribosomal RNA is filed under the name uncultured bacterium. Its description in RNAcentral is "partial 16S ribosomal RNA". It matches the Rfam family "Bacterial small subunit ribosomal RNA", at positions 507 to 807 of the family's 1533-position model. The record is from RNAcentral.